RNAcentral lists this ribosomal RNA (497 nucleotides) under uncultured bacterium. RNAcentral describes it as "partial 16S ribosomal RNA". It matches the Rfam family "Bacterial small subunit ribosomal RNA", at positions 28 to 507 of the family's 1533-position model. The record is from RNAcentral.
GAUGAACGCUGGCGGCGUGCCUAAUACAUGCAAGUCGAGCGAACAGACGAGGAGCUUGCUCCUCUGACGUUAGCGGCGGACGGGUGAGUAACACGUGGAUAACCUACCUAUAAGACUGGGAUAACUUCGGGAAACCGGAGCUAAUACCGGAUAAUAUAUUGAACCGCAUGGUUCAAUAGUGAAAGACGGUUUUGCUGUCACUUAUAGAUGGAUCCGCGCCGCAUUAGCUAGUUGGUAAGGUAACGGCUUACCAAGGCAACGAUGCGUAGCCGACCUGAGAGGGUGACCGGCCACACUGGAACUGAGACCCGGUCAAGACUCCUACGGGAGGCAGCAGUAGGGAAUCUUCCGCAAUGGGCGAAAGCCUGACGGAGCAACGCCGCGUGAGUGAUGAAGGUCUUCGGAUCGUAAAACUCUGUUAUUAGGGAAGAACAAAUGUGUAAGUAACUAUGCACGUCUUGACGGUACCUAAUCAGAAAGCCACGGCUAACUACGUG